AACGUAGGUGGCGAGCGUUAUCCGGAUUUACUGGGCGUAAAGGGUGUGCAGGCGGGGGUCCAAGUGGUGUAUGAAAUCGCUCAGCUUAACUGGGCUAGGUUAUGCCAGACUGGACUUCUAGAGUGCGAGAGAGGGACGUGGAAUUCCGGGUGUAGUGGUGAAAUGCGUAGAGAUCCGGAGGAACCCCAGAGGCGAAGGCGGCGUCCUGGCUCGCAACUGACGCUCAGACACGACAGCAUGGGGAGCGAACGGG
RNAcentral lists this ribosomal RNA (253 nucleotides) under uncultured bacterium. RNAcentral's name for it is "partial 16S ribosomal RNA". It matches the Rfam family "Bacterial small subunit ribosomal RNA", at positions 524 to 776 of the family's 1533-position model. The record is from RNAcentral.